UAGGGAAUCUUCGGCAAUGGGGGGAACCCUGACCGAGCAACGCCGCGUGAGUGAAGAAGGUUUUCGGAUCGUAAAGCUCCGUUGUUAAGGAAGAACGAGUGUGAGAAUGGAAAGUUCAUACUGUGACGGUACUUAACCAGAAAGGGACGGCUAACUACGUGCCAGCAGCCGCGGUAAUACGUAGGUCCCGAGCGUUGUCCGGAUUUAUUGGGCGUAAAGCGAGUGCAGGCGGUUAGAUAAGUCUGAAGUUAAAGGCAGUGGCUCAACCAUUGUAGGCUUUGGAAACUGUUUAACUUGAGUGCAGAAGGGGAGAGUGGAAUUCCAUGUGUGGCGGUAAAAUGCGUAGAUAUAUGGAGGAACACCGGUGGCGAAAGCGGCUCUCUGGUCUGUAGCUGACGCUGAGGCUCGAAAGCGUGGGGAGCAAACAGG
RNAcentral lists this ribosomal RNA (429 nucleotides) under Bacteroidota bacterium. RNAcentral describes it as "Bacteroidetes bacterium partial 16S ribosomal RNA". It matches the Rfam family "Bacterial small subunit ribosomal RNA", at positions 355 to 776 of the family's 1533-position model. Lineage: Bacteria; Pseudomonadati; Bacteroidota. The record is from RNAcentral.